Molecule: ribosomal RNA, 497 nt
Filed under: uncultured bacterium
Lineage: Bacteria
Description: partial 16S ribosomal RNA
Rfam family: Bacterial small subunit ribosomal RNA
Source: RNAcentral
GAUGAACGCUGGCGGCGUGCCUAAUACAUGCAAGUCGAGCGAACAGACGAGGAGCUUGCUCCUCUGACGUUAGCGGCGGACGGGUGAGUAACACGUGGAUAACCUACCUAUAAGACUGGGAUAACUUCGGGAAACCGUAGCUAAUACCGGAUAAUUUAUUGAACCGCAUGGUUCAAUAGUGAAAGACGGUUUUGCUGUCACUUAUAGAUGGAUCCGCGCCGCAUUAGCUAGUUGGUAAGGUAACGGCUUACCAAGGCAACGAUGCGUAGCCGACCCGAGAGGGUGAUCGCCCACACGGGAACUGAGACACGGUCCAGACUCCGACGGGAGGCAGCAGUAGGGAAUCUUCCGCAAUGGGCGAAAGCCUGACGGAGCAACGCCGCGUGAGUGAUGAAGGUCUUCGGAUCGUAAAACUCUGUUAUUAGGGAAGAACAAAUGUGUAAGUAACUGUGCACGUCUUGACGGUACCUAAUCAGAAAGCCACGGCUAACUACGUG